RNAcentral lists this long non-coding RNA (413 nucleotides) under Lathyrus oleraceus (garden pea). RNAcentral describes it as "Pisum sativum (pea) long non-coding RNA (PSAT_LNC028845)". The record is from RNAcentral. Lineage: Eukaryota; Viridiplantae; Streptophyta; Magnoliopsida; Fabales; Fabaceae.
AAAAGAUGAUAAAAAACUUUUGUAUAGAAUGGAAUGAUGUGGUGUAGGAAGAAAUGUAGUGAAGGUAUUUAUAGGAAGAGUUUUGAAAUUGGGAAGAGAAGUGGGUGAGAAAAAAAUUAAUAGGGAUAAAGGUGAAUUGAAGGGAGUAACGGUCGUGACAACGGUCACAAACAUUUUACGAGAAAGCAAGUUGUCACAUUCGUGACAGCAUGCGUGACGCUCGUCACACCUCUGAUCAUGCAACGGUCAAAACGUUCGUGACAGCAUGCGUGUUUAAUUAUAUAUUUUUUAUGGUUUUAUUUAUUAUAUUUGUUAUUUUUAUUAUGUUGUAUUUUUUUUGUGUCAUGGAUGCUACUUUACUACACCAUAGAAUAUAUAUUAUUUUUUUCUCUAAUAAGCCAUGUAAGUAGUAG